Molecule: long non-coding RNA, 1022 nt
Organism: Canis lupus familiaris (dog)
Lineage: Eukaryota; Metazoa; Chordata; Mammalia; Carnivora; Canidae
Exons: 3
Source: RefSeq, a predicted model, not a curated record
GCAAGAGGUGUUACCGGCUGCGAAGGGGGUCCGGUGGGAAUGCACCGGGUUCUGCUGACCCCAAUCCAGACUUUCUCAGACUGGGGUCAGCAGCUUCUUGAGAACUUUGAAAAAAAAUUUCAUUUUCGAACAUCUAAAAAUGCAUUUAAACGCAUUCUGUGUAGCUGCCCAUCCCCAUAGCUCCCCAUCCCACUGGAGAUUUCAAAUCCGGUGUGGAUUUCUUUCUAAUUCGUCAUGCCAGGGCCAACAGCAAAAUGUUGAUGGUCAUGAGAGACUGGAUAAAGAGGUGGCCAGAGGUGAUCAGGGCCCAGGGCAUGAACACGGCUCCUUGGGGGUUCAGGGACAAGCAGAGGGAAACUGAGUCAAGACAUGACAGAGCUGAGAGCACCUUUUCCCAGCAGCUCGGAGGGUUUCUACAUCGCUGUAUCCACCAGCCCGUCACCUGCCAUCUUGAGGGAGUGCCACCCAAUGCCACCCAUGCCUGGGAGCCGCAAGGCUGGGAGGAGACCCUGGGUGGGCAGUGAGGAUCCAUGCUUGGAGAGAAUCAGUUUGUGAAGGGGACUGAGGGUCGUAGCCAGGUCUCCAGAACAUCCGAGUCCCCAACAGCCUGACCAAAUGAGGACUUUUUCAGUAACUGCGGCCGCCUUUGCCUGCGUACUGGGUGCUAGCUGACCACUGCUGUCCUCCAACACCCAGCGAGAGAAGUAUUGCUCUUUCUACUCAGCAGAUGAAGAGUGGUUCAGAGACGUGAAGUAAGCUGCUCAAAGCACCCAGCAUUCUAACCAACUCUGUCCUCUCUGCAGCCAGGAAUCUUCCGGUUUCACUCAGCCCCCUCUGGGGUGGAGCAGCCCACCUCCCAGUACUUCUCAGAGCCCAGGAAAACAAAGUCCCAGGAGCUUUCCAGUCAGCGUCCUGGAGAAACCAGAGGUCGGGCCCUCCGUGAGUCUGGCGAGGAGCCCAGGGAAGGUGAUGGUUCACAGAAAGGCUGAGGAUAAGCAGGAGUUGGCCAGACAGAGAUGAGA